This 694-nucleotide long non-coding RNA is filed under the name Homo sapiens (human). RNAcentral's name for it is "HSALNT0192277". The record is from RNAcentral. Lineage: Eukaryota; Metazoa; Chordata; Mammalia; Primates; Hominidae.
AGCAAGCAAGAAUGGCAGCAGAUAUACAAAAGAAAAUUUAAAUUUUAAAAGUUCCAUAAUAGUUGGGACAUCCUUCUUCACUUGCUCUUGGACAUCAGAAGUAGAAGUUCUCUGGCCUUUGGACUUCAAGACCUGCACAAGCAGGCGCCCAGUUUCUCAGGCUAUCAGACUCAGAUUGAGAAUAAUACCAUCAGCUUCUCUGGCUCUGAGGACUUAGACUUGCACUGGACUAUGAUAUUGGCUUCCCUGGUUCUCCAGCUUGCAGAAGGCCUAAGACUUAUCAGCCUCCACAACUGUGUUAGAAGACAGAUGCUCCAACUUCCCGGGAUGCUCAGGAGUGUCAGCCUAGCUCCUGGGAUUCUUGAAGCACUUGAAAUCCUACUACAUCAUGCAAAAUUGGAUUUGGAUUAUUCAACUUCCAAUUUUAUUUUUUAUUUUAAUUUUAUUUUUGCACAUUGGCCAGUGCCUUGGAGAGCAAUAUAAAUCAGUAAGUCUCUCCUGGCAUUUUCCUGAUCUCUGCUACAUCAUCUCAAAACCACAAAAUUCAGAUGUACAGAGUAACAAAACAUUACUUGAAGUUGAUAUUAAUAUAUAGAAAAUAGAAAGUUCACAUCACAUUGUAUCAUAUUAAUGGUGAAUAAAAUAGAAGUUACUGACCCAAGGACUGAUUUAAUCUCUUCAAAAAAUUCAGUGC